RNAcentral lists this ribosomal RNA (253 nucleotides) under uncultured bacterium. RNAcentral describes it as "partial 16S ribosomal RNA". It matches the Rfam family "Bacterial small subunit ribosomal RNA", at positions 524 to 776 of the family's 1533-position model. The record is from RNAcentral.
UACGUAGGGGGCUAGCGUUGUCCGGAAUCAUUGGGCGUAAAGAGCGCGUAGGCGGCCAGACAAGUCCGGUGUGAAAGUCACAGGCUCAACCUGUGAAUGCCGCUGGAAACUGUCUGGCUAGAGUCCGGAAGGGGCGAGUGGAAUUCCUGGUGUAGCGGUGAAAUGCGCAGAUAUCAGGAAGAACACCAAUGGCGAAAGCAGCUCUCUGGGACGGUACUGACGCUGAGACGCGAAAGCGUGGGGAGCGAACAGG